UUUGGUUAAGUUAGAAAGGGCGCACGGUGGAUGCCUUGACACUAGGAGUCGAUGAAGGACGGGACUAACGCCGAUAUGCUUCGGGGAGCUGUAAGUAAGCUUUGAUCCGAAGAUUUCCGAAUGGGGAAACCCACCAUACGUAAUGGUAUGGUAUCCUUAUCUGAAUACAUAGGGUAAGGAAGACAGACCCAGGGAACUGAAACAUCUAAGUACCUGGAGGAAGAGAAAGCAAAUGCGAUUUCCUGAGUAGCGGCGAGCGAAACGGAACAUAGCCCAAACCAAGAGGCUUGCCUCUUGGGGUUGUAGGACAUUCUAUACGGAGUUACAAAGGAACGAGGUAGACGAAGCGACCUGGAAAGGUCCGUCGUAGAGGGUAACAACCCCGUAGUCGAAACUUCGUUCUCUCUUGAAUGUAUCCUGAGUACGGCGGAACACGUGAAAUUCCGUCGGAAUCUGGGAGGACCAUCUCCCAAGGCUAAAUACUCCCUAGUGAUCGAUAGUGAACCAGUACCGUGAGGGAAAGGUGAAAAGCACCCCGGAAGGGGAGUGAAAGAGAUCCUGAAACCGUGUGCCUACAAAUAGUCAGAGCCCGUUAACGGGUGAUGGCGUGCCUUUUGUAGAAUGAACCGGCGAGUUACGAUCCCGUGCGAGGUUAAGCUGAAGAGGCGGAGCCGCAGCGAAAGCGAGUCUGAAUAGGGCGUUUAGUACGUGGUCGUAGACCCGAAACCAGGUGAUCUACCCAUGUCCAGGGUGAAGUUCAGGUAACACUGAAUGGAGGCCCGAACCCACGCACGUUGAAAAGUGCGGGGAUGAGGUGUGGGUAGCGGAGAAAUUCCAAUCGAACCUGGAGAUAGCUGGUUCUCCCCGAAAUAGCUUUAGGGCUAGCCUUAAGUGUAAGAGUCUUGGAGGUAGAGCACUGAUUGGACUAGGGGUCCUCAUCGGAUUACCGAAUUCAGUCAAACUCCGAAUGCCAAUGACUUAUCCUUAGGAGUCAGACUGCGAGUGAUAAGAUCCGUAGUCAAAAGGGAAACAGCCCAGACCGCCAGCUAAGGUCCCAAAGUGUGUAUUAAGUGGAAAAGGAUGUGGAGUUGCUUAGACAACUAGGAUGUUGGCUUAGAAGCAGCCACCAUUUAAAGAGUGCGUAAUAGCUCACUAGUCGAGUGACUCUGCGCCGAAAAUGUACCGGGGCUAAAUACACCACCGAAGCUGCGGAUUGAUACCAAUGGUAUCAGUGGUAGGGGAGCGUUCUAAGGACAGUGAAGUCAGACCGGAAGGACUGGUGGAGUGCUUAGAAGUGAGAAUGCCGGUAUGAGUAGCGAAAGACGGGUGAGAAUCCCGUCCACCGAAUGCCUAAGGUUUCCUGAGGAAGGCUCGUCCGCUCAGGGUUAGUCAGGACCUAAGCCGAGGCCGACAGGCGUAGGCGAUGGACAACAGGUUGAUAUUCCUGUACCACCUCUUUAUCGUUUGAGCAAUGGAGGGACGCAGAAGGAUAGAAGAAGCGUGCGAUUGGUUGUGCACGUCCAAGCAGUUAGGCUGAUAAGUAGGCAAAUCCGCUUAUCGUAAAGGCUGAGCUGUGAUGGGGAAGCUCCUUAUGGAGCGAAGUCUUUGAUUCCCCGCUGCCAAGAAAAGCUUCUAGCGAGAUAAAAGGUGCCUGUACCGCAAACCGACACAGGUAGGCGAGGAGAGAAUCCUAAGGUGUGCGAGAGAACUCUGGUUAAGGAACUCGGCAAAAUGACCCCGUAACUUCGGGAGAAGGGGUGCUUUCUUAACGGAAAGCCGCAGUGAAUAGGCCCAAGCGACUGUUUAGCAAAAACACAGCUCUCUGCGAAGCCGUAAGGCGAAGUAUAGGGGGUGACACCUGCCCGGUGCUGGAAGGUUAAGGAGAGGGGUUAGCGUAAGCGAAGCUCUGAACUGAAGCCCC
This 1921-nucleotide ribosomal RNA is filed under the name Escherichia coli. RNAcentral describes it as "partial 23S ribosomal RNA". It matches the Rfam family "Bacterial large subunit ribosomal RNA", at positions 1 to 1921 of the family's 2925-position model. Lineage: Bacteria; Pseudomonadati; Pseudomonadota; Gammaproteobacteria; Enterobacterales; Enterobacteriaceae. The record is from RNAcentral. RNAcentral also lists the same sequence under 1 other name.